GAACAUGGGAGUGCAGAUAUCUCUUCACC
This 29-nucleotide non-coding RNA is filed under the name Homo sapiens (human). Lineage: Eukaryota; Metazoa; Chordata; Mammalia; Primates; Hominidae. The record is from RNAcentral.